Molecule: long non-coding RNA, 185 nt
Organism: Lutra lutra (Eurasian river otter)
Lineage: Eukaryota; Metazoa; Chordata; Mammalia; Carnivora; Mustelidae
Exons: 3
Source: RefSeq, a predicted model, not a curated record
CCUCCAGGCCUGGGAUCUUGGGUCAGGCCAUGGAUAAAGUUCAGUGGCUAAGAAAGAGAUAUGAAUAUUUACAAAAAUGUUAUUGAUGAAGAAUUACAAGUCAACACAAAAUAUAAAGGGAACUUGCAAUAUUGUUGAAGAAGACAUUGGAAGGAUCAACCAAUUCUACUGAGCAAUUCGGGAAA